AGUGAACGCUGGCGGUAGGCCUAACACAUGCAAGUCGAACGGCAGCACAGUAAGAGCUUGCUCUUACGGGUGGCGAGUGGCGGACGGGUGAGGAAUACAUCGGAAUCUACUUUUUCGUGGGGGAUAACGUAGGGAAACUUACGCUAAUACCGCAUACGACCUACGGGUGAAAGCAGGGGAUCUUCGGACCUUGCGCGAUUGAAUGAGCCGAUGUCGGAUUAGCUAGUUGGCGGGGUAAAGGCCCACCAAGGCGACGAUCCGUAGCUGGUCUGAGAGGAUGAUCAGCCACACUGGAACUGAGACACGGUCCAGACUCCUACGGGAGGCAGCAGUGGGGAAUAUUGGACAAUGGGCGCAAGCCUGAUCCAGCCAUACCGCGUGGGUGAAGAAGGCCUUCGGGUUGUAAAGCCUUUUUGUUGGGAAAGAAAAGCAGCAGGUUAAUACCCCGCUGUUCUGACGGUGCCCAAAGAAUAAGCACCGGCUAACUUCGUG
RNAcentral lists this ribosomal RNA (492 nucleotides) under uncultured bacterium. RNAcentral describes it as "partial 16S ribosomal RNA". It matches the Rfam family "Bacterial small subunit ribosomal RNA", at positions 29 to 507 of the family's 1533-position model. The record is from RNAcentral.